RNAcentral lists this ribosomal RNA (301 nucleotides) under uncultured bacterium. RNAcentral's name for it is "partial 16S ribosomal RNA". It matches the Rfam family "Bacterial small subunit ribosomal RNA", at positions 509 to 808 of the family's 1533-position model. The record is from RNAcentral.
CAGUCGCCGCGGUAAUACGUAGGUGGCAAGCGUUGUCCGGAAUUAUUGGGCGUAAAGGGCUCGCAGGCGGUUUCUUAAGUCUGAUGUGAAAGCCCCCGGCUCAACCGGGGAGGGUCAUUGGAAACUGGGAAACUUGAGUGCAGAAGAGGAGAGUGGAAUUCCACGUGUAGCGGUGAAAUGCGUAGAGAUGUGGAGGAACACCAGUGGCGAAGGCGACUCUCUGGUCUGUAACUGACGCUGUGGAGCGAAAGCGUGGGGAGCGAACAGGAUUAGAUACCCGGGUAGUCCCUGUCUCUUUACA